RNAcentral lists this transfer RNA (70 nucleotides) under Asterophora parasitica. RNAcentral's name for it is "tRNA-Lys". It matches the Rfam family "tRNA", at positions 8 to 62 of the family's 71-position model. From Rfam's summary of the family: Transfer RNA (tRNA) molecules are approximately 80 nucleotides in length. Their secondary structure includes four short double-helical elements and three loops (D, anti-codon, and T loops). The record is from RNAcentral. Lineage: Eukaryota; Fungi; Basidiomycota; Agaricomycetes; Agaricales; Lyophyllaceae.
UAGCUCAAUCGGAUAGAGCGUCAGACUCUUACUAGGCAGUGGCAUCUGAAGGCUGCGAGUUCGACCCUCG